Molecule: long non-coding RNA, 676 nt
Filed under: Physcomitrium patens
Lineage: Eukaryota; Viridiplantae; Streptophyta; Bryopsida; Funariales; Funariaceae
Description: long non-coding RNA (PPAT_LNC014526)
Source: RNAcentral
UACAAGAUAAGAAUGUCUAGAAAGGACAUCUAAAAAACCUUAUAAUUUAUGGUCCACAUAUACGAUGUUGUAAUACGUGGCAUUUGGCUUGAGAAUGUACCGAAUACUUGGCUAUAGAAGAUAAAAGAAAAAUUACAAAAACAAGUCUUAACAAUUCUAAUAGAUUUUUAAACAAAUUAAAAUUAAAUAUUAAUAAAUAUAAUCAAAGAUCAAUAAAAUUUAAUCAAAAUUUCAAAAGAAUUAUAUAAGAAGCACAAAGUAUUCCUAAAAAUGUUUUAAAGAAUCAAAAAGAAAUAACAUAGAAAUAUAAAAAAUAUACUAAAAUAAAAACCUUAAUUAAAUUCUAAUCAAAAUCUAAUCAAAUUCUAAUAAAAUCAUAGUUAAAUCCUAACCAAAUCCUAAAUAAAUCCUACUCAAAUCCUAAAUAAAUCCUAAAAUAUCCUAAUCAAAUCCUAAACAAAUCCUAAACAAAUCUUAGUCAAAUCCUAACCAAAUAUUAAUCAUAUCUUAAAUGAAUCUUAAUCAAAUUCUAACCAAAUCCUCAUCAAAUUCUAACCAAAUUCUAAUCAAAUCCUAAAAAAUCCUAAUCAAACCCUAAAUAUAUCCUAACCAAACCCUAAAUAAUUCCAAGUAAUUCCUAUAGCAAGUUUAAACCUCAAUAACUAAUGAAUGAAUC